This 68-nucleotide transfer RNA is filed under the name Batrachuperus sp. 2 PZ-2020. RNAcentral's name for it is "tRNA-Phe". It matches the Rfam family "tRNA". From Rfam's summary of the family: Transfer RNA (tRNA) molecules are approximately 80 nucleotides in length. Their secondary structure includes four short double-helical elements and three loops (D, anti-codon, and T loops). Lineage: Eukaryota; Metazoa; Chordata; Amphibia; Caudata; Hynobiidae. The record is from RNAcentral.
GUUUAUGUAGCUUAAUUAAAGCGUAGCACUGAAAAUGCUAAUAUAGAUUUUUAAAUAUCUCAAAAACA